This 67-nucleotide transfer RNA is filed under the name Rhingia binotata. RNAcentral describes it as "tRNA-Asp". Lineage: Eukaryota; Metazoa; Arthropoda; Insecta; Diptera; Syrphidae. The record is from RNAcentral.
AAAAAAUUAGUUAAAAUAUAACAUUAGUAUGUCAAACUGAAAUUAUUAUUCUUUAUAAUAUUUUUUA